AUUGAACGCUGGCGGCAUGCCUUACACAUGCAAGUCGAACGGUAACAGGUCUUCGGAUGCUGACGAGUGGCGAACGGGUGAGUAAUACAUCGGAACGUGCCCGAUCGUGGGGGAUAACGGAGCGAAAGCUUUGCUAAUACCGCAUACGAUCUACGGAUGAAAGCAGGGGACCGCAAGGCCUUGCGCGGACGGAGCGGCCGAUGGCAGAUUAGGUAGUUGGUGGGAUAAAAGCUUACCAAGCCGACGAUCUGUAGCUGGUCUGAGAGGACGACCAGCCACACUGGGACUGAGACACGGCCCAGACUCCUACGGGAGGCAGCAGUGGGGAAUUUUGGACAAUGGGCGCAAGCCUGAUCCAGCCAUGCCGCGUGCAGGAUGAAGGCCUUCGGGUUGUAAACUGCUUUUGUACGGAACGAAACGGCUCUUUCUAAUAAAGAGGGCUAAUGACGGUACCGUAAGAAUAAG
This 465-nucleotide ribosomal RNA is filed under the name beta proteobacterium MB2. Its description in RNAcentral is "bacterial SSU rRNA". It matches the Rfam family "Bacterial small subunit ribosomal RNA", at positions 30 to 490 of the family's 1533-position model. Lineage: Bacteria; Pseudomonadati; Pseudomonadota; Betaproteobacteria. The record is from RNAcentral.